This 397-nucleotide ribosomal RNA is filed under the name uncultured bacterium. RNAcentral's name for it is "partial 16S ribosomal RNA". It matches the Rfam family "Bacterial small subunit ribosomal RNA", at positions 523 to 918 of the family's 1533-position model. The record is from RNAcentral.
AUACGUAGGGGGCAAGCGUUAUCCGGAUUUACUGGGUGUAAAGGGAGCGUAGACGGAAGGCCAAGUCUGAUGUGAAAGCCCGCGGCUCAACUGCGGGACUGCAUUGGAAACUGGUCAUCUGGAGUGCAGGAGGGGUAAGCGGAAUUCCUAGUGUAGCGGUGAAAUGCGUGGGAAUUAGGAGGAACACCGGUGGCGAAGGCGGCUUACUGGACUGUAAGUGACGCUGAGGCGCGAAAGUGUGGGGAGCAAACAGGAUUAGAUACCCUGGUAGUCCACACUGUAAACGAUGAAUGCUAGGUGUAAGAGGUAACGACCCCUUUUGUGCCGGAGUCAACACAAUAAGCAUUCCGCCUGGGGAGUACGGCCGCAAGGUUGAAACUCAAAGGAAUUGACGGGG